RNAcentral lists this ribosomal RNA (253 nucleotides) under uncultured bacterium. RNAcentral's name for it is "partial 16S ribosomal RNA". It matches the Rfam family "Bacterial small subunit ribosomal RNA", at positions 524 to 776 of the family's 1533-position model. The record is from RNAcentral. RNAcentral also lists the same sequence under 1 other name.
UACGUAGGGACCAAGCGUUGUUCGGAUUUACUGGGCGUAAAGGGCGCGUAGGCGGCUUGUCAAGUCACUUGUGAAAUCUCUGGGCUUAACCCAGAACGGCCAAGUGAAACUGACAUGCUAGAGUGCAGAAGGGGCAAUCGGAAUUCUUGGUGUAGCGGUGAAAUGCGUAGAUAUCAAGAGGAACACCUGAGGUGAAGACGGGUUGCUGGGCUGACACUGACGCUGAUGCGCGAAAGCCAGGGGAGCAAACGGG